Triticum urartu is the source of this 3250-nucleotide non-coding RNA. NCBI's taxonomy places the organism in Eukaryota, Viridiplantae, Streptophyta, Magnoliopsida, Poales, Poaceae. The record is from RefSeq and is a predicted model, not a curated record.
CCCACCCCACACACGCACCCCCAAGAAAACCACCCCGCCCGCAGUCCUCCCGUCGCCGCCGCCGUCCUCUCGAUCCCAUCGAUCCCAUCUAUCGUUGCCGCCGUCGAGGGGGAGCCGCCGCCGCCGGCGGCUCUGCAAGGCAGGGCGGUUUGAAUCCCGCAGCCGCCGAACUCCGGGAGAUGCCGUCGCCGCCUCUCCAGGGCAGGGCGGUUUCAGUCCCUGCCGCCGAACUCCGGAAGACGCCGCCACCACCGAACUCCAUGACCCAUGGCUGCCACACAUCUUCCUCCACGCACGGCCGCACCCCCACCCCUUUUUCUUCCCUCCCUACGGCCUUCAUCUCUACCCGUCCCACUCCUCGGCCUUCAAUGGUGAUCCGCUGCCUCCCGCUCCUCGUGCUCCGAUCUGACAACUGAUCCACCGCCGCGCCUCGGAUACGUCGCGACGCCUCGGAUACCGGCGACCGGCGGUGAUCUGAGACCAACGAGUCGGCACCACAUCCCUGAUCUUCAGAACACCGAGCGAAAUAUUGGCUUGGAACGAUCUUGGGUUGGCAGGACGGCCAGACCAGGUGGCAAAUGUGGUGCACGAGUCAACCUCACAUCAUACUGUGGUGUCUAGGAUGGGCGUGGUGUAACAUGACGCUUUCUAGAAGCAUGUUAUCGAACAUCUCCACAUAAUCCUGAGCUUGCCUAAUUCCCAAAGCAUGUUAUCAUAAGGAUGAGUACGGAGGACAACUCUCUCAAUUCCCAAAGCACUAAUCUUGUCCUAAUUGCUCAUAUAUUGAAUCACUUUUCGCUGCAAAUAUGUUUUCUGUUUGAUGAGCUAGAAGAUGCUUGGAGGCUAAGGACAAAGAGGAUCUGACGUACACGUUUUUGGGAGGCAAUAACUACUUUGUGCACUUUGGCGGUGGAUAUGGGUACACAUUCUUGAUGUCUCGAUGAAUUGGAGAACAGAUGUAAUGGUAUGUGCUCUAUGCAAGGACAUGAGAACAAUCCUCCAAAUUGAACUACGUGAUGGGAGAGUAGUUAGGAAACUUUGUUUGUGUACGGGUUGCUUUUCCUCUAUAUAGCGGGCGCUGGAAAUUUCAGUUGCGAUGAUAGCAAGGAUCAAGGAAAAGAGAACAAGGGUGGGGCUUAAACUUCAGUACGAGCGCUUGCCGUGGUUCUGCUAUGCAUGUGGCUACAUCGGGCAUCAGGUCAUGUCUUGUGCGCGUAAGUUCAGGUGGUGAACCUGUAUGCUGACGACUGCGAUGCUUACCACUGAGGAAGUUCGUGCAGCAAGCAGCAAGCACCUUGGACAAAUUUUGAAAAGAGGGGCACGACUCGGAGGUAUGAGCCCCAGCAAGGGCCAUCACAGCUGCGCUGACAAGCAAGUGUAAGUUGGUGAUGGUGCCACCGUGUAGAGUUCGGAGACUACCCUUGGAAGCACAAAUUGGACAAAGUGCCUUGUGCCACUGGUGUUUCAACACCAGGGAUGUGAUUUUGCUCUAUAGUUUGCAGUACAUUAGACAAUUUUGUAUGCUAUUCAGUAAUUAAUGCUAAAGUUUAUUCCUACAGCUUGUACAUGAACAGGUCCCUGUUUACCGAUGGCGAAAACUCAUCAUUGAUCCAGCUUACUCCUGCAAAUGUUGACCAACAGACAAUUCUCUUCAUGCCUUAUUCAUAACAUCAAAUUUCUCAACCUGAUGGCAUCUAUCAAGGAUCUCUAAAGCCGAUGGAUUAAAAUUGUGUUUUUCUCCUGUGUUCAGUAUACAUGGUUAUCUUCAUAGGCUAAUUUCACUUUUGAUAACUGAUGAUAAAGCGACAAUGGAAUCAGAAGGCCCAAAAAACUUCAUCAUUCAUUCUGCAAGCUGCCUAAAGAAAAAACAGCACCACUGAAACCAUCUCUGGUUCAUUAAUUGGUUCGGAUAAUCAAAUUAUUCAAUUGAAACAUGUGAGAAAUUAUUAUAAAAAGAAUCUGGAUGCAUCAUAUUAAAAGUGGAAUAGGGGCAGCGGCAUCGAUCCUUCGUAAUGACCAUCUGCUGGAAGGCGACGCGGUUGGCGAGAAUUUGCUUAGCUCUUUCGAUGACGCCACACGGGCAUUCGUGAAUUCCGAGUAAGCCGCGACCCGGUUUGACAGGGUGAGGGAUGCGGGAGUGGUUGAGAAUGAGGUGGCCCUGUCUAAGGGCACCCAGUAGACUGAGAAAGGAACAUUGUUUCUGUAAAAAAAUGAUAUUUAGACUUUCAGAGCACCCCCUGCACUACUUGAGAUUUAGAAGGUGGUAUGGCCGGCGGAUGCAUCCAUGUGCUAAUCAUCUGGCACCAAGCGGACGGAGCCGAACGAGUUGGGGCCACCAGCUGGCUGACAACACACACAUGGGCGAGCAUGAGCAACAUGAAGCUAGGGAGUAAGCUGGGAGUGGAUGGACGGGGCGUGAGGUAGAACAGGGGUGGGGAGCGGGCGGACCGUGGACAUAAGAGAACAACACCGGAAACAUCCUUUCUAAAGUUUUUUUGGGGCUGGAUUGACGAACAACUUGUUCAGUGAUACCAACCCCUUCGAGCUCCCUCAACCCUUCGACAACACUUAUUCAGUUUCUCACCACAAGUAGUAAGAGACAUGAUCAGAUCGCUAACCAGUGAUGAAGGCGUUAUGUGGUCGUUGACGUCAUGCUAAAUGUUGGUGUAGUGCCAAAUAAGAAUAUACGGAACAAAAUCCCUAAGCUAGACAUUAUGGUAUAAUGGAAAUUUGAGGAUGUAGGUGGAUGUGGGCGCUGUGGCCGCCACCAAGGAUGUAGGGGUCACGCCCCAAGCUGCAAGUACGUGGUAGGUGGUCAAAACUGACGAGGACAUGGGAGCCGCACUGCAGCAUGAGUGUUUUUCAUAAUUUAUUUAGGCCUAUGUACUGGAUGAUAUUUUCAUUGCUGGCAAUCUUCAUCAACCUAUCUACGAGGACAUUGAUAUACUAAUUGCUGCACAAGUGUUCUCAGCACCCGCUAACAAGAAGAGAGUAUGAUUGUUCAAUGCUCACUGUUGUAAGCUUGUUUCACGAGGAGCUUCUCAGUGUUGUACAUGUAGGGUGUGGAUAAUAUAAAUAAAAUCUAUUUGCUCAUUCUUUUACUGUACCUCCGAUUCGUCCCCCACGGUUUAGUAGAGUACAGUUAUGUGCUAAAGUAUUAGGAAGUCAUCAUCUUCUAAAACAUAUUGUUAUCUACUCAACCCAGUUAGCAAAUAAAGAGUGUGGUGAACUUAACACCUUUCUAUCUUUA